AAUUAUCAACUCUCUUACUUUAUUGUAAGAUGAGCUUGGACUUGGGGAUUGCUGGUGUAAAUCGGCUUCUCUUGAAUGCAUUAGCUGGAAUUUAAUUCGUAGCGUAUAUGCGGUGUGAUAAUGUCGUCACUGUGUAGCUUGAAUUGUCUGGCUUCUAAUCGUCCUUCACGGGACAAUUUGAUCA
This 184-nucleotide unclassified non-coding RNA is filed under the name uncultured Schizoporaceae. RNAcentral's name for it is "sequence contains ITS2". The record is from RNAcentral. Lineage: Eukaryota; Fungi; Basidiomycota; Agaricomycetes; Hymenochaetales; Schizoporaceae.